Long non-coding RNA from Piliocolobus tephrosceles (Ugandan red Colobus), 3360 nucleotides. The record is from Ensembl. NCBI's taxonomy places the organism in Eukaryota, Metazoa, Chordata, Mammalia, Primates, Cercopithecidae.
AUGAACAACAAUAAAGACAAUAGUAACAUAAAUAACAUUAGGAAAGUUGUAAAGGAUAGAAGCACAAGUAAAAACUUUAAUAAUAAAAUAAAAGAGAAUGGUAAUAUAUAUGAAGAUAAGUACAAAAGUAAAAAAAUUAAUGAAAAUAACUAUAAAAAUAAAGCAUCAAUAAACAUUGUAGAAAACAAACGGGAGGAUAAUAAUAGUAAUAAUUAUAAUAACAGUAGUUAUAACAAUAACAGCUCUAAUGUUCAAACAAAAAAGAAAGAAGAAGUCCAUAAUAAAGUAAUUAGCGGCGAGAAUAAUAACAAUAAUAAUACUAAAAGUGAUAAAGAUGAAGAAAAGAAAAAAACAACUAGAAAAAAAAACAAUAGCAAAUCUGUUGAUGUGAACGAACAUGUAGAAAAUAGUAUUAAUAAUAUAAAUAGCACCAGCAACAAUAACAACAGCAAUAAUAACAAUAACAACAGCACUGGUAACAAUGACAAUGACGACGUAAGUUUAAAAAAAAAGGAAGAAAAAAGUAGUGACUAUAACAAUGAAAAGAAAAAAAGAGAAGAUAAUAAAAAUAACAAUAACAACAAUAACAAUAACAAUAAACAUAGCAAUUUGAAUAGUUACAAAUAUUCAACAAAUCAAUUGAAUAAACCUUUAAAAGAAAAAAAACAUAUAACAAAGGCUGAUAGAAUAGAAAAUUUACAUUAUAAUAAUAUUUAUAGUAGUAAUAGUAGUAGUUGGAAAAAUAACAACAAUGGUAAUAGUAAUUACAAUUAUAAGAAUAAUGAAAAAGUACAAAACAGUUUGGUUUAUCACAGAUCUAAAAGUAAUAAUAUGAAUAGUGACCAUAACGCAAAGAAAGAUAAACUAAACAAUUUUAAUAAUAAUAAUAAUAAUAUAAAAGAUUUAAACAGAAAAGGAAAUUAUAACAAUAAGAACAAAAAUGACAUACAAAAUGAUAAUGGUAACGAUGGUAGAAAUGAUGGUAGACAUGAUGGUAGACAUGAUGGAAGAAACGACAAUAAAAGUAAAACUUUAGAAACUAAAUACAAUAAUGGUGAUAAUAGUAGCAUUAUGGAUAGCAGUGGUAGUAUUUACAACGGUAGUAGCAUUCAUAAUAAUAGUAUGCAUAAUGGUAGCAUAAAUAGUUUUUCAAGUAAAAACAAUUAUAAAUAUGAUUAUAAAAAUAAUAAAAAUUAUAAUAUAAAACGAAAUAAAAAUUAUAAACCGUCAUCUUUUAUGAAUAAUAACUUUUAUACAAUGUAUAAUGAUUAUAUGAUGAGUGACAAUAUGUUAGAUCCUGCGAAUAAUAUGAAUAUGUAUAGUUAUAAUAAUAUAACAAAUAAUAUUAAUAGUGAUGUUAAUAACAGUAACAAUGGUAAUACUAGUAAUCAUACUGGAAAUUAUAAUAGUACUGGAAAUUAUAAUAGUACUGGAAAUUAUAAUAGUACUGGUAAUUAUAAUUUUACUAGUAAUUAUAACAAUACUGGUAGUUAUAGCAAUGAUAACAACUUUAUUGGAAAUUAUGCCAACUGUUAUCCAUAUAACUAUUAUAUUGAUGAUGCAGAUAAUAAAAAUAUGGAUUUUAGUAAUUUUUACGCAUCUAAAAUGUAUUUAACUACUACAGCAGCAGCAGCAGCAGCAACAACAACAACAGCUGCAGGCGUAGGCACAACACCAACGACAAUUAAUGGAGGAACUGGAAAUGAACAUUACACUGGUAAUGAGAUUGCAUAUGAUAUGCGUUAUAAUUAUAAUAAUAUGUUAAAUGAUUAUUAUGGGUAUAUUCCAUUAAAUUAUUAUUAUUAUAAUAUGAAUAAUAUGUACUUUGGAAAUAAUAACACAGAAGUAGCAGCAGUAGCAGCAAAUACUAGUAUUGCAACUAAUAAUAAUGUAUCUAAUGUAUGCCAUGAUAAUAAUGGCAGUACUAACAACAGUAUUGCUACUAAUAAUAGUAACAGUAAUAGCAAAAAUGGAACUAGUAAUAUUGGAAAUAAUAAUAUAAAAAAUAGAAAAAAUAAAAAAUAUUCUUUCGAUAAAAAUAAAAAAAAAAAUUAUAAUAACAUGAACAAUUCAGGUAUAUAUAACGAAUUUAAAAAUCGAUUGAUUGAUAUAUUUAAAAGAGAAAAUAUAAUGUCUGAUGGUUAUUUGUUAUAUUAUAUUUAUAACAACAUAAAGUUAAAUAUUGACAUUAUUGCUAGACACCCAUAUAUAGCUCAAUUAAUUAAUAAUAAUAGUAAUACCAGUAAUAGUAGUAAUAAUAGUAAUAAUAACAUUAACAGUAUAAAUAUAUUAACUAACGUUUUGAACGAUUUAAAAUAUAUUAAUUUGAUUGAAAAGGAUGGUACAUAUGAAAAGGAUAAAAAUAUAUCAGAGUCUACUAACGCGAGUAACAACUCGAGUAAUAACUUGAGUAACAACGCGAGCAAUAAUACGGACAACAAUACGGACAACAAUACGGACAACAAUACGGAUAACAAUAAGAGUGAUGUGAGCAAUAAUAAUAUUCCUAGCACAACAUUAACUGUUACAGAAGAUGAAGAUAACAAGUUAAAUGCCAACAAAGAACAUGGUAUGUUAAAUAAAAAAGUAACUGAUAGUACUAAAAUAAGUGCAAAUACUGAUGAUAAUAAUGAAUCUAAAAAGGAGACAACUACUAGUAGUAGUAGUAGUAGUAGUAAUAGUAAUAGUAAUAGUAAUAGCAGUAGCAGUAGUAGUAGCAGUAGUAGUAGCAGUAGCAACAAUAUUAGUGAGUUAGCAACUGUAGUUGACAAUGGUAAAGACCUACAAGUUACAAAGGAAGGUAUGACUACUGAUGUUGCUUCUAUUAUACCUGUUACAGCAACUAGUAUUACAACCAUAACAAGCACAGAUAUAGCAGAAAGCAAUAGUAACAGUAAUAGUAUUACUGACAAAAAAACAGAACAAGAGUCACAGAGUAGUAAUACUUUUGAUAUUAAAAAAAAAAAAAAAAACGGUGAAGCACAGAUGAUUGUUGAUGGUACCAGCUUAAAAAGUAUUAAUUUACAUUCAAUAAAUAAUACAGGUAAGGCAGACACAACAGAUGCAUUACUAUGUUCAGAAAACAAAAAAGACGUUAUAAAGGAAAAAUAUUGUAAUGGAAAAAAGGAUGUCACUAACAAUGAAAAAGAACAGAAUGAAAAAGAACAGAAUGAAAAAGAACAGAANNNNNNNNNNAGAAUGAAAAAGAACAGAAUGAAAAAGAACAGAAUGAAAAAGAACAGUAUGAAAAAGAACAGUAUGAAAAAAAAAGUAAAUCCACUACAAACGAAGAAGAAACAUGUAUUAAAAAUGAAAGUAAUAUUAUUAAUGAUAAACAGAAUAAUAAUAAUAAUAAUAUAA